Molecule: ribosomal RNA, 583 nt
Filed under: uncultured bacterium
Lineage: Bacteria
Description: partial 16S ribosomal RNA
Rfam family: Bacterial small subunit ribosomal RNA
Source: RNAcentral
UGGGGAAUUUUGGACAAUGGGCGAAAGCCUGAUCCAGCAAUGCCGCGUGUGUGAAGAAGGCCUUCGGGUUGUAAAGCACUUUUGUCCGGAAAGAAAUCCUUGGCUCUAAUACAGUCGGGGGAUGACGGUACCGGAAGAAUAAGCACCGGCUAACUACGUGCCAGCAGCCGCGGUAAUACGUAGGGUGCAAGCGUUAAUCGGAAUUACUGGGCGUAAAGCGUGCGCAGGCGGUUUGCUAAGACCGAUGUGAAAUCCCCGGGCUCAACCUGGGAACUGCAUUGGUGACUGGCAGGCUAGAGUAUGGCAGAGGGGGUAGAAUUCCACGUGUAGCAGUGAAAUGCGUAGAGAUGUGGAGGAAUACCGAUGGCGAAGGCAGCCCCCUGGGCCAAUACUGACGCUCAUGCACGAAAGCGUGGGGAGCAAACAGGAUUAGAUACCCUGGUAGUCCACGCCCUAAACGAUGUCAACUAGUUGUUGGGGAUUCAUUUCCUUAGUAACGUAGCUAACGCGUGAAGUUGACCGCCUGGGGAGUACGUCGCAAGAUUAAAACUCAAAUGAAUUGACGGGGUCAUAGCUGUUUCCU